AUUCCUCCAAAGUGACCAACAUUUAAUUGUCAUGAAUGACAGUAUUUAAUCUCUGCAGCAAUAUUUCCUGAUUCACUGUGUUGAGAGCCUCUUCUAAAUCAACAGACAGGGAAGUGCAGAGGGUACCGUGACACUGUCUUAAGACUUUCAAAACAACAGUUGUGCUGAUAUGUUUAUAUGACCUUAGACGUCUUGCAGACUGAUAACAUGUGAACGGUUCACUGAAAAAGAUUUCUACAAGGGACAUAGGCCAGGAGGCUUUAUUAUUGGACUAUAAUGAUCUAAUAUAGUUGGAUGUCCCUGAUUUAAUUUAAUAAAAUAAAAUAAAUAAAAAAGAAAGCUGAUUUCCAAAUUUCUGGUAUAACCCCGUUGUCAAAUAAAGAUUAAAAUGAUAAGUUAAAAGAGAUAAAAUAAUAUCAACUGCUAAGUUUAGAAAUACAGACUCCACACAGUCAGGGCCUUGUGAUGUGUUUAUAUCGGACUUGAGUGAUCUGUAAACAUCAGAAGUCUUAACACGUUAAAAACUGAACUCCUCAGAAUUGUUUUUAAUAGCUUCCUGCUUUAUUAAAAUCAGGGUAUAGUAAAUCACAAUAAAUAUUCCCCGUUUUAAGGCCUAGAUCUGAUGCAUAAAUUGAACAUUUAAUGAUGGGUUUUGCAGUUGUGUGUUCCCAGUUGUCUGUCUCCAGUUUCCAGUACUACUGUCCUGUAAACAAUAUCUUCGAUCCUCAGAAAAAGGAUGAAAGGACAUGCCCACUUAGUCUAGCAUUAUUACAACAAGCUGUGAUAACAAAAGCGAUAAGUUUUGCGAUACAACCAACCCACCCAGUAACCAUUAUUUAUAGUAUGAUGUAUAUAGAAUAUAUAUAUAUAUAUAUAUGUAUAUAUAUAUAAGAUGUCCCAACUGUAACCUAUAACUGUAAUUCCAUUCCACAUGAUAUUAUUAUUGAUCAGCGCUUUUUUCCAAGUGACUGCAUGUGAGAGCUCAAGGCCGUUACUCCCCUUAACAAUUCCUAGAUCGGUAGUACACCUGGAAGCGUCUCCUUCGCGGGGCUGUGGGCUCCCCUGUGGUGUACUCCUCUGUGGUCAUAGGCUCCCUUGCACCCUCCCAAUGCCGUCAGGACAUGAUUGGGGUCAUCCUCCGCCCCAUAAAAGCACAACAAAUGUUCCUGGACGUUAUCAAGUAUGAUCUGCAGUAGAUCCCUGAUUGCUCACUAAAGGACAACAUCCUGAAAUCCGGGUGUUCUUUGGACAAGCCUGACAUUGAAUGGACCCAUGCUUUGCACCUGUACUAUGGCUGACAAACUACAACAAAGACUGUGUCUUACAUGUGACUGAAAAGGGGGGGUGCUGCUGGGGGGGUCCCGGCUCAGGAGAAUGGGGCGCUUACAGGGCUGAAGUUUAUGUAUUGAAAACAUUGGAUUUGGUGGCACAAGGAUUGCCAGGCUGGAGAUGCUCUCUUAGUGUGGAUCAUUGGGAAAAUUGCUCUCUCACACAUCGAUCUUACGUUUAUCACACCAGGUCAUUUCUAUUUUGAAAGAACAGGAUAUGGGGAUAUGGGGUUAAUCUAUGUACCACCCGAACUAAAAUUCUUAAACCUGUUAGUGUGCCUAACUCACCAACUGUAGUGUCGUAGUGGUGUAAUUAAUUCUGUGGAGCCAGUCACUGAGAACACUCACGAUUGCCCAGCCGAAAUUCGUAUUUCGUUGAGCUUAAAAGUUUUGGGUCUGAAAUUUCACAAACAUUAUGAACACCCUGUUCUGCCCAAUUGGCUGAAUUGAAGUCACUAAAGAAUGCAACCUAAGGGUAGAAUUGUUAAAAAAAAAAUAUAUAUAAUAAAAAAUAAAUAAAAAAAUAAUAUAAAUACUGACGUUUAGGCCCAUGGAUUGUGUCGUCUGUUUGGAGUUGUUUGAAUGCAAUGAGGUUCUAGGAAAAAAUUGGAACGCCACUUAUCGAACAAAUAGUUUAAUUGAAUUCUGACUGCACUUCUUGCUGUAUGUAUGAUCUUAGCCAGUGUGCGAGGGGGAAGGUAAAGGAAUGAUCCCUGUACUUGCAGGCAACGGUGGAGGAUCACCUGAAGUGUGCUCAAAAUUAUUUAUUUUUUUCCUUGACCAGGGAUAGGUCUGGCACACCCUGAUUUGUGUUUGAUGUAAUUUGUGCUGAUACUAAACGUAUUUCGGUAGAUGCUCUACCUCUUGCACUAAUGAUGUUCCUUAUGAUGGACUGCUGCUGGAGUAAUUGCAGAUGAAUCAAAAACAUAUAUAAGACCACUAACUAUUAUGUAUGGAGCUAUAUAUUCACAGGAACAGAGCUGAGUGCAGUGUUAUGUGUGAGGCGUCACCGCCUCAACGGGGGGAGGUGUUCAGAGGUGUUCACCCAGAGGUGGGAGUCCCGGAGCAACGAGAGAAUGCUGACUACAAGGCGACAGCAGACUGCCAGGACAUGCGAACCCCUGGAGGAUGCUCAAUCCUCCAAUGACGAGAUGGUGGGGAACACGUGAAGGUCCGGUACGAAGCGUCAACGGGGGGUCUGCUCUGUGGCAGACAGGAUGAGAAGAUGUGAAGAUCCAUACCCUGGGUGUACGUGCUAGCCUAACCUCUCCCCAAAGGGUGGCUCUCUACAGUACGUAAAGUGCUUGAGCUGAAGACAACCAGCAUACAGAGAGAUACUGCAUACAACAGACUGUCAAGUAUUGUUAUAAAAUGUUAUAAAAUGUUUGUGAUGUGACGCAAUCAGUCACAGAAAAGUAUAAUGGUGCUGCCGAGCACAUAGUGCUGGCCGGGUGGGAAUUUUUCCUCAUAAGAGGUUUUUUCGCCCCCACCCCCGACUGCGAAAGACUGGGGUUUGGUUUUUGAGGGGAAGCAAGAAUCUGCAGGUCCCGACAAAUACAAAACUGUGGGCUGACAGGCCUAGUUGAGAAAGAUAGGGACGUGUAGAUCAAGUAGUUAGUUACUGUAGUGUACUCAUACGUACGGCAGUAGUAGUAGUAAUGAAUGAUUAGGGGAACUCAGUUAAUCACACUUAUAAUCGAUGUAGGCAAACAAACAUAUAAUCAAGGUAGUUAGAUUCGAAAUGAGAUAUAUAUAUAUAUAUAUAUAUAUAUAUAUAGUUAAAAGGAGAAGUAGGUUAAGGGUUAAGAGUUAUGGCUAGGUACAUCUACACAUGUCCGGCGCAAAGUGGAUGUAAGGGGGUCCUAAGGCCCAUUCUCCAGCUGCCAAUCUACUAUGAGACCCCGGGGCGCACAACACUAGCACGUCUCCCACCAGGUCUACAAAACCUCCUCAGCUCCUAUUCGGAUCGGUGUUGCGUAGAAGUGGUUAAUGUAAGGGACCCAUUGGAUUACGGGGACGACGGGCGGGAUUAUGGCUUUGUUAGAGUAAUCCUCCGACAGCUAGCGGGGGACGGCCAUGGGGUGCGGCAGAAUCAGUUCCUCCAUGCUUAAUUAAGGUAGUGUAUGAGGCUUCAUAGCCUCAGAGGGGGAAAUGUUGUGGAUAAAAAAUGUCAUAAAAUAAACAUAAGGGAGGUCCAGAUCCAGAUCCAGGUCCAGUAACGGUGAGAGAAGGGACUGACGACGGGCACCGGCACCUAGACAUACAGAAGCGGUUUUAGUCAGAGGUGGAUAAAUUGGUAAAACACUUUAAAGAUCUUUAUGGGUUAUUAGUCGAAAUAGUCGAAAGAAGUGUACGAGCUGAGGAGUGCUAAAACACACACACACACACACACACGCUCGUACAGUCAAGGGCGGGCAAGUAGACACAACGUACGCACACACUCUCUCUUUCUCAUACACACACAUGAAUAACUUUAAUAAUAUCUUAUAGUAAUAGAGAAACUCUAUAAAAAACAGAAUAGUAGGAUAUGCAGGACAGUAGAACUGUAAUGAUAUUAAGAAGUUGGAAGUACAGUAAACCGCUUUUCAAGUAGUAUAAAUAUAUAUAAAAUAAGAAAUAUAGUGCAAAUAUGAAAAUAAAUUAUAAACUAGAAAUACAGGAAAAUAUAACUUACUCAUGAUUCAGAUGGUGAAGAUUCUCGUCUCGCAAGGAAAGCCUUAAUUUUUAGAGAACCAUGAAGAGAGCCAGUUAUAAGGGUGGCUGGGUCAAACUGCCCCCCCCGAGAUAACGAUAAGACCAAGGUCCCUCCCGGUUGUUCAGUCGUCUUGUCUACGUCAUUUUUUUUACCUAGGGAAUUGAGAAUCCUGGUUUCUGACCACCUAGGUAACUAGAAACGCUGGGUUUUUGUUUCCUGGAUUGUUGGAAAUGCCUGGGUUCUGAUUUUAUGUGUAAAUUAAAACCCCUGGUUUCAAUUCUAUGUGUAAGUGAAAUAGGCCUUUUCUGGAAACCUAUGGGUUAUCUAGUGUGUAAGUACAGUAUAAAUACUGGAGCUUAAGCUCAGGGUAUUGGGAUCACUUCUGAGAAUUCUCAUCGGUGUGGAUCUCGUGUGGUGGAAUGGAACAAUAAAGCUGGACCCUUGCUUCUUCUCACUCACGGCUGGUGUAUUUUUUCUAUCUCCAACUGGGCUCAGAGGUAGAUGUGAGUAUUGGCUUCUAAGUUGAAUUUUAAAUGUUUUUGGGUAAUAGGCUAAAUUUGAGCCAACACUAGAUAGAUAGAUAGAGAGCUAGAUAGAGCUAGAUAGAGAGAGCUAGAGCUAGAUAGAGAGAGCUAGAUAGAGAGAGAGAGCUAGAUAGAGAGAG
Molecule: long non-coding RNA, 4687 nt
Organism: Ictalurus punctatus (channel catfish)
Lineage: Eukaryota; Metazoa; Chordata; Actinopteri; Siluriformes; Ictaluridae
Source: Ensembl